AUCGGAUAGAGUACUUCGGUACUCUUGCCGGCGACCGGCGGACGGGUGCGUAACGCGUAUGCAACCUACCUUCAACAGGGGGAUAAUCCGAAGAAAUUUGGUCUAAUACCCCAUAAUAUUCCGACAGGCAUCUGUCGGAGUUGAAAGCUUCGGUGGUUGGAGAUGGGCAUGCGUUGUAUUAGCUAGAUGGUGAGGUAACGGCUCACCAUGGCGAUGAUACAUAGGGGGACUGAGAGGUUUUCCCCCCACACUGGUACUGAGACACGGACCAGACUCC
This 277-nucleotide ribosomal RNA is filed under the name uncultured Bacteroidota bacterium. RNAcentral describes it as "uncultured Bacteroidetes bacterium partial 16S ribosomal RNA". It matches the Rfam family "Bacterial small subunit ribosomal RNA", at positions 65 to 339 of the family's 1533-position model. Lineage: Bacteria; Pseudomonadati; Bacteroidota. The record is from RNAcentral.